GGCCAUAUACAUGUAAGUAUAUAUAUAUAUAUAUAUCAAUGUUCAUCAUUUGUGUUGAUAAACAAUAUAAAUUUGAACACGUAAACUCAUUCGAAAGUUCAUAAAUUUUAAUUGAGACGAUCUUAAGCAUAGACAAUUGUCGCGCCCCGAUUUUAUGUUACGCGACCUCUUAGAGUCGCCACUACAUUUUAUGGUUAAAAAUGUAGAAAAAUCUGUAAAGCCCAAUCACAUUGGGCUUUUGGAUUUUUGAUAUCCAAGUUCGGGAGUCGAUUACGAAUUGGGGAAGGUAUUAGCACCCCGUUCGCCCGUAAUAAAACGGUACCCUAACUAAUUGCAUACAUUGAAUACCCUUAAUUUAUUUAAAUUAAAUUGCUUAAACAAAAUAUUUUUUAUAUUUUUAUUUGUGUCUGACAGGUUCAUAUUGCUCCUACGUAUCCCCGGGUGCAAUAGGGAAAUCAAGACUACGUAGUUCUUAAAUUUUUUAAUUUGGUUGGAUUUAAAAAGAAAGUUAAAAAUUGUUUGAAUUUAAUUGAAGUUGAAAUAAUAGACAAAGAGUCAACAUUGAUUGCUUACCAUCUCCUCACUUCGAUAGAUAGCAGAAGCAGUACAAGUGAUCGCGACCGGUUCUCGUCUCGAAAUAAGGAGGAAGAUGCAAUACGAGUCGUAACCUCCACUAUUGAAUUCCAAAAUAAUUAAAACAUUAAUAUUAAUCUUAUUUUUAAAAAAUAGAAUUUAGAAAUUUAUUUGAGUUUAAUUAGAGUGGAAUUAAUAGAUGAAGAGUCAACAUUGAUUGCUUACUUCUUCCUAGUUCGAUAGAUAGCAGAAACAGUACAAAUGAACGCGACCGGUUCUCAGUUCGAAGCGAAGAGAAAGAUGCAAUACGAGUUGUAACCUCGCUAUUAAAUCCCAAAAAUACUUAAAACCAUUUUUUUACUUUUAAAUGACUUACAUAUAUAUUUUUUAAAGGAUGAGAAUUAAUAAAUGACGAGUCGACAUUGGUCGUUAAUCAUCUUCUUACUUUGAAGAAUAAGAGGAGCAGUACAAGUGACCACAACCGAUACUCGAUUUGAAGUAAGAAGUAAGAUAGGACACGAGUCAUAACCUCAUUAUUACCUUCUCAUGAAAAUAAUUUUAUUUAUUAAAAAGACACAACUUUUAGUUUUAAAUGUAUUGUUAUCAAACUCAUUGGACACUAAGUUUAUAUGAUUAAUAAGUAAACAUUAACUUAGUUAGAGUAAGAUUAUGUCCUUAAUAUAACAAAACAAACAACAAUCAAACUAUAACCAAUGAAAAAGCCAAUAAACAAAUAAACAUGGUAUUUAAUUAUUAUGUUCAGCAAAAAAACAAACAAAAAUAAAUGAAUUAAAAAAACUUAAGAGGGAUAACCUCAUAACAUCUCAGAUGGGCCUAUGUUUGUUGAUAAGUCACUUAGGGCCCAAUUAAUUGCCAAAGGAUGCAAAACCUAAUACCUAAAAAGGCAAUAAGCCAUCUGCUUAGAGAUUAUGAGAAGACAAGGAGAAGAAAUCAACCCCAGGGCUGUCGGCACCACUAGUCAGAGGUGUAACACCACUCCCAUAAAAGGAUGAUGAGGCUUGGGCGAUGGAAAUGGCGGAGGAAACUGCACUACCCACGGCGAAAACCAUAGGUUCGUGAGCUCGGGACAACCCGAGUGCAAAGGAGGAUGCCCCGCCCCUGGAUGCGGUUUGGCGAUGGCAGCGGCAUCGUUUAUGGAAAUUGGAAUCGUGGUGUUGAAGUUUUGUGAAAAUGGCUUGACCUCCACCGUUGCCUUGGCUGUUCCCGUCAACAGAUACCAUAGAAGGUAUUGAUGUUUGGCAGCAAAGACAUUUAUUUCCUCUUCAUCUUUGUCUCCUCCAAGUUAAUCCCUAUGGAUGAGUAUCAUCACGUGUUGGUUCAGAGGAACGCAUCGAUAUGCCACCGGAGCGUCUUGCUGGAUCUAUGAGGGACCAUUCUUUUUGGAUGGUGGUUGAGGAAGUCCAGGAUGGGUAUAUAUAUAGGCCAAAAUGAAAACUAGUAUGGUUUUACUAAGCAUAUAUUGUUGGUUAAUCUUUGAACAAUUAGAGGCACUUACUGAAAUAGGAUGAUUUUUCUUUUUUCACUUGCUUAUGCACUGUAUUUUAAAAGCAACACUUUUAUGAUUUAACCCAUUUAUUAGAAUUAUACACUACUUCUACUUCAGCCUAUAGAAAGAUGUUUAUGAAUGCUUAGAAUUAUGAACAUGUAGAGUAAUUGUUUUAGUUUUAUGACAUUCAUGGAAUUGGCAUUAAAACACAUAUAUGUCUAUAAAUAUGUAACAACAUGUAUAUUUUGGGAUAUAUAUCUUGAAUGUAACCAGUGGCUAUAAAGAGAUUAGUGACUAACCUGAAUGAUGCACCAGUGAUUGCUAUAACAAUGUAUUAAUCGCCACUGAUCCUUUAAUUCUUUGUUUGUUGUUGAUUAGAUGUUGCCUUCUAUCUCCUUUAUGGCACCUUCCUGUGUGUUCUGUUUUUCUGCCUAUACUCUUUUCGUUUUUUCUAGUUUUCACUCUGAUGUUUUCUUAUCUCUUUUUUUCGUCCUUCUGUCACUGUUUCUUCCUUUUUCUUUUAAAACUCAUCACAACCCCAAAUAACCUCUAUCCCUAAAAGCUGGG
RNAcentral lists this long non-coding RNA (2647 nucleotides) under Lupinus angustifolius (narrow-leaved blue lupine). RNAcentral describes it as "long non-coding RNA (LANG_LNC000775)". The record is from RNAcentral. Lineage: Eukaryota; Viridiplantae; Streptophyta; Magnoliopsida; Fabales; Fabaceae.